GAUGAACGCUGGCGGCGUGCCUAAUACAUGCAAGUCGAGCGAACAGACGAGGAGCUUGCUCCUCUGACGUUAGCGGCGGACGGGUGAGUAACACGUAGAUAACCUACCUAUAAGACUGGGAUAACUUCGGGAAACCGGAGCUAAUACCGGAUAAUAUAUCGAACCGCAUGGUUCAAUAGUGAAAGACGGUUUUGCUGUCACUUAUAGAUGGAUCCGCGCCGCAUUAGCUAGUUGGUAAGGUAACGGCUUACCAAGGCAACGAUGCGUAGCCGACCUGAGAGGGUGAUCGGCCACACUGGAACUGAGACACGGUCCAGACUCCUACGGGAGGCAGCAGUAGGGAAUCUUCCGCAAAGGGCGAAAGCCUGACGGAGCAACGCCGCGUGAGUGAUGAAGGUCUUCGGAUCGUAAAACUCUGUUAUUAGGGAAGAACAAACGUGUAAGUAACUAUGCACGUCUUGACGGUACCUAAUCAGAAAGCCACGGCUAACUACGUG
Molecule: ribosomal RNA, 497 nt
Filed under: uncultured bacterium
Lineage: Bacteria
Description: partial 16S ribosomal RNA
Rfam family: Bacterial small subunit ribosomal RNA
Source: RNAcentral